RNAcentral lists this unclassified non-coding RNA (331 nucleotides) under soil metagenome. RNAcentral describes it as "partial contains 5.8S ribosomal RNA, internal transcribed spacer 2, and large subunit ribosomal RNA". The stretch from base 1 to 120 matches the Rfam family "5.8S ribosomal RNA", at positions 35 to 154 of the family's 154-position model. The record is from RNAcentral.
GAUUAAGAACGCAGCGAAAUGCGAUAAGUAAUGUGAAUUGCAGAAUUCAGUGAAUCAUCGAAUCUUUGAACGCACAUUGCGCCCCCUGGUAUUCCGGGGGGCAUGCCUGUUCGAGCGUCAUUUCACCACUCAAGCCUCGCUUGGUAUUGGGCAACGCGGUCCGCCGCGUGCCUCAAAUCGACCGGCUGGGUCUUCUGUCCCCUAAGCGUUGUGGAAACUAUUCGCUAAAGGGUGUUCGGGAGGCUACGCCGUAAAACAACCCCAUUUCUAAGGUUGACCUCGGAUCAGGUAGGGAUACCCGCUGAACUUAAGCAUAUCAAUAAGCGGAGGA